This 303-nucleotide ribosomal RNA is filed under the name uncultured bacterium. Its description in RNAcentral is "partial 16S ribosomal RNA". It matches the Rfam family "Bacterial small subunit ribosomal RNA", at positions 507 to 809 of the family's 1533-position model. The record is from RNAcentral.
AGCAGUCGCCGCGGUAACACGGAGGGUGCAAGCGUUAAUCGGAAUUACUGGGCGUAAAGCGCACGCAGGCGGUCUGUCAAGUCAGAUGUGAAAUCCCCGGGCUUAACCUGGGAACUGCAUUUGAAACUGGCAGGCUAGAGUCUUGUAGAGGGGGGUAGAAUUCCAGGUGUAGCGGUGAAAUGCGUAGAGAUCUGGAGGAAUACCGGUGGCGAAGGCGGCCCUGGACAAAGACUGACGCUCAGGUGCGAAAGCGUGGGGAGCAAACAGGAUUAGAUACCCGUGUAGUCCCUGUCUCUUAUACAC